GCUGGACUGUGGUGGUUUUCACGUCUCAAAGCCAAUUGUGAGUGACGCCGUAGUGGAGGGCUCAGGACAUCUGACCAUCUGCUGUUCUUUAUCGUGCAUCUAGGUACACGGACUUCUACCAUUUCGCCCCCUACGAAAUGUAGUGCGACUGGACUGAACAUAUUUUCAUACUGGUCGCGGCGCGCGUGUACGCUUCGGGUGAUUUCAACGAGCGGUGUACUUGAAUACACAACAAAGAGGAACUACACAAGGGCACGGAGUGGUAUACACUGAGUGGUAUACUGCGGCAGACGGACAUCAGUGUCCAAACGCCAACAGUGUUGCGACCAUCAAGAUGCGAAAAGAAGGAAGGGGUACGGUGGACUCUCAAAGAUUCCCCUCCGGACAAAUCAAGCAUGCGAAACCCGCCGUGUGUGACAGUGGAACUGCAGGACUACAUAUGACCAGUACACAACAGUGGAUGUUUAUACGCCUCUCAAAGCUUGACGGAAUGCCACCAUGAAGUGGCAAAGAAGGAAGCUCAAAUCAACAACCACUCUUUCGUCCGUCUCUAGGCAAUUCCAAUGGUUCCUAAUUGCUUUCUAUUAUAUUUCGGUGCAUCUUUUGAUCACCAGUAAUUGAAAACCAAUAAACUGUUCGUUAAAAAGA
Molecule: long non-coding RNA, 648 nt
Organism: Rhipicephalus microplus (southern cattle tick)
Lineage: Eukaryota; Metazoa; Arthropoda; Arachnida; Ixodida; Ixodidae
Source: RefSeq, a predicted model, not a curated record